This 148-nucleotide ribosomal RNA is filed under the name uncultured bacterium. RNAcentral's name for it is "partial 16S ribosomal RNA". It matches the Rfam family "Bacterial small subunit ribosomal RNA", at positions 355 to 509 of the family's 1533-position model. The record is from RNAcentral.
UGGGGGAUAUUGCACAAUAGGGGAAACCCUGAUGCAGCGACGCCGCGUGGGUGAAGGAGCACUUCGGUGCGUAAAGCCCUAUCGGCAGGGAAGAAAAGGGGGAAACCCAGACGGUACCUGACUAAGAAGCCCCGGCUAACUACGUGCC